GAAUCAUCAUCCGCGAGCUCUUCGGUUUAUCGGUCCCGGUCCGCCAGUUCAUCCAGAUAAUGGCUGGACUUGCUCUCUGGUGGACACCAUGUUCUCCAUUCAGAUUGCACUGUGUGCAGCGAUCAAACCACCAGCCACCACCGUAAUCCUCGCCACAGGUGGAAUCUGCCGAUUUCGCGUGGUUCCUUCGCCGAUCGUAAGUGCUGAAAUCCAUCCGAUUGUGCUGCUCCAGAGCGUCCGGUAGUGAACCACGGAAUUCACCAGCCACCGAAAGCUGAUAGUUAUAACUCUCGCUGUCUAGCCAGAAGAGUGGAUACUCCGCCCAAUCCAGCGGUUCCCCUGCCUCCUGCAGCUCAAUUCUCAGCUCAUGAUCGUCGCGGUAGAGAAUCUUGUGCGCGAACUCGUUGCCAAACCAGAAGUCUCGGGAUAAGUUACCAAAACCCGCGCGAUACUCGUCCCAGCUGCGAUUGAAAUUUUCGUGCGGAUCGAAGGAGCCGCCUCUACUCUGGAUCACUGUCCAGGCGGGGCCGUCGGUGGCGAAGGCGCAAUAACGCUCGUACAAAUCACGCUGGACUUCAUUGCGCUCCGGAACCAGAAACCUAUAGACGCCAUCCACCCGGACACCUUCGUCAAGCUCAUGGC
Non-coding RNA from Drosophila melanogaster (fruit fly), 642 nucleotides. Lineage: Eukaryota; Metazoa; Arthropoda; Insecta; Diptera; Drosophilidae. The record is from Ensembl.